Molecule: ribosomal RNA, 497 nt
Filed under: uncultured bacterium
Lineage: Bacteria
Description: partial 16S ribosomal RNA
Rfam family: Bacterial small subunit ribosomal RNA
Source: RNAcentral
GAUGAACGCUGGCGGCGUGCCUAAUACAUGCAAGUCGAGCGAACAGACGAGGAGCUUGCUCCUCUGACGUUAGCGGCGGACGGGUGAGUAACACGUGGAUAACCUACCUAUAAGACUGGGAUAACUUCGGGAAACCGGAGCUAAUACCGGAUAAUAUAUUGAACCGCAUGGUUCAAUAGUGAAAGACGGUUUUGCUGUCACUUAUAGAUGGAUCCGCGCCGCAUUAGCUAGUUGGUAAGGUAACGGCUUACCAAGGCAACGAUGCGUAGCCGACCUGAGAGGGUGAUCGGCCACACUGGAACUGAGACACGGUCCAGACUCCUAUGGGAGGCAGCAGUAGGGAAUCUUCCGCAAUGGGCGAAAGCUUGACGGAGCAACGCCGCGUGAGUGAUAAAGGUCUUCGGAUCGUAAAACUCUGUUAUUAGGGAAGAACAAAUGUGUAAGUAACUAUGCACGUCUUGACGGUACCUAAUCAGAAAGCCACGGCUAACUACGUG